GCCCUACUCAGAUCUUUGGGACAGAUUCUGCUGUUAUCUUCACCAGAACCGAACCCAGGAUUUCCCCCGUGAUGCUUGGCUUGAAGAUGGGAAACCAAGAAGUCUCUGCAGAUGCAAGCUUGAUUUCAACUAAGCUUUUCCCACCUUCUGUUUGAUUUGUCUAUGGAUU
This 169-nucleotide long non-coding RNA is filed under the name Struthio camelus australis. RNAcentral describes it as "lncRNA (ENSSCUG00000000554.1)". Lineage: Eukaryota; Metazoa; Chordata; Aves; Struthioniformes; Struthionidae. The record is from RNAcentral.